CUCAAUAUUGUAUGAACAUUCUCUGGUGGUUCGUGAAAUCAUGGUGACUUGGGUCUGGGCCCAAUCUCAAUUCAUUUGCAAGGAGUCAAUCUGAAGACCUGUGACCACAAUGAGGAAUUUCAAAGGGGAUCUUCAGUACUGCCUGGAUAUUUUAAAUGGACAACCAGAUAGCACAGGAAGCAGCCCAGCUCCAGAUUCUAGGCUCGCAGAUGGUGAUGCUGGAAAGGGGAAAAGAAACGUUGGUUGAAUCUGCAGAGAAGGGACCCACAGAUAUGGAGCACCCACUGUUUACCAGACACUGAGCUAGGUAUUUGGGAUGCCACAGAAGAGUAUCAAGAAUCACCCCUGCCCUCAAGCAGCUUUUAACCAUUGAGCAGACACCAGGGAAGGGCCAGAGGAGCAGCGUGGGUGGAAAAGGAUAUUGUGAGACUUUGACAGAAGUAGGAGUAGGAGGGAUAUGGGAGGAAUCGGACUUGUUUGGCCUUUUAGGGUUUUCGGCAUAAAUCUUUGGAAUUACUGCAUCAAUAGUUUAUGUGUACUUACUUAAGGUAAGACUCUAUUCUGCUUUUUUUCCCCUAGACUUUUUGGAAAGCAUGUUCAGAAAGCCUCUUAUCUUCCCUAGCACAAAGAUUGUUUUAACUCUAGCUUAAAUAACAAUAGUAAAAGUGAUCAGGGUAGCUAUCAUUUGUUGAAAACUUACUGUGUGCCAGACCCACUGAUAAGAACUGUGAGUUAACAGAUGAUUCAUUCAUGGCCCAAAGGAGCCCUGUCUUUCCUGAGUUUUCAAGUUCUAUACAGAAAGGUCUCCUGUUUAGCCUUGCUAAACUUCGCACUGAGGAGGGGGCCUACCUCGGGAGUCCCAAAUGAGUGUUACAAAGCACAAUUCAUAAACAUGUCCGACAACUUCCUGAGGAAAGAGCUUUCCAGAACCCACACACCAAAUCAAAUAGUUAAGAAGAAAAUGAGAAAAAGGUUUUAAUUUAAAUCAAUUAUACUUUUAAAUUAUUUUCUUCACACAAUUUAUUAGAAGAAGAAGAAAACCCCCUAAAGUUCUGAAGAAAUAUUAACAUAACAUGCCUGUAACUCAUGCUGUGUUUAAUGAGAGGUGCUGUUUUUCCUGCCAUGGGGCCAUAGCCCAAUGAGUGAUGGCUCUGAAAAGGGUCACAUACAUAUUCAUCAAAUUCGACAUGCACAUGUAAACUGGUUUUAAUAGGCCAUGACAGCAGAAGUUGUGUCGGGCAAAUAGCUGCAUAUGUGCUCCUUUCCUCCACUGGCACAUUUAGCCAUUAACACUCUGGUAUCCAUGGAUGAAAUAUUAGCUUGUUAACUUCAGGCCAUCAGUUGUUGUUGAUUCUCAGUAGCAACUGAGGGAAGAGAUCCCCUCUGCUACUUUAUUAGGGGAGAAGCUUGAACUUCAAGAUGCUCAUUUCACUUUCAUGGUGUCAUUAAUACUAUUUUGUUCCCUGAACUUGGAGUCCAGAAGAUGCAUGAAAAUUGUUCUGACAAAAAUUGAUAUUAUACCCAGUUCAAACCUACAGAUGGCAUGGGACAAAAACUGAUAUAUCCAGUUCAAACCCACAGAUGGCAUAGGUUUUAAAACUUUUUCUUAAUACAUUUCAAUGCAAGAUCCAUUUUCUUCAACUGUCAACCAUUUUGAAGGUCAUCAAAGCAUGCAUGGUUGUUGGUUAAGUGGACAUUAGCAGCAAUUAUGCAUCCUUCUAAGACUCUCUCCUUCGUUUUUUGAUGAAUAGAUUGUCAAGUUCAGAAGUGAACUAAAUUAUCACAGUGCAACCGAAGCUACACUCGAUUCAUUUUAAAAAAAGGACCCUCAAGUAAUAAAGUGAGAUGUCUAUGUUUUCUAGAAGCUACCAUACAAGAACAAGACCCAAAGCCCAUUAUUUCAAGACACUCAGGCCCUGAGUUAACAUUGAUAGAUUAUCUUUUUGCAACCAUCUGGAGGCCCCUGGCUACCUCAACCAUCAACUGUUGGAUACCUAUAUUUAGUUAAACAGAAGAAUCUUUCAUGGACCAUUUACAUUUAGCCUGUUCUGUCAGUCAAGUUUCUUCCUAGAUUGAGUUGGUGUUUUGUUCUACUUUCUGUUAAACAAACAGCUGUACAUUUGAAUCACCAAGGUACUGGGUCUAACCAAAGUGACCUUUACAUAACAUGUUGAGGAAGAGUUUCAUAGCUUGGAAACAAAUCUGUCAUUCAUAGUCAAUCACAUUUUAUUACUGAUCUCUUGUUCCUCAUCCCCAUCCUUUCCUGCUUCUUCUCCAAAUCAGCGAUGAAUCCUUGCCAAAAAAAAAAAAAAAAUUCUGCCCUUUAUUCACCAAUAAGUGUUCCAGAUCGUCACAUGCUUAAAAUAGGAUCAACUUUAGUUGCCAAGAUAGUAAACAACACAAUAAAAUAAUUUAUCCACUAA
Molecule: long non-coding RNA, 2423 nt
Filed under: Homo sapiens (human)
Lineage: Eukaryota; Metazoa; Chordata; Mammalia; Primates; Hominidae
Description: HSALNT0303186
Source: RNAcentral